CGGUGGAGCAUGUGGUUAAUUCGAAGCAACGCGAAGAACUUACCAGGUCUUGACAUCCCGAUGCUAUUCUAGAGAUAGAAAGUUACUUCGGUACAUCGGUGACAGGUGGUGCAUGGUUGUCGUCAGCUCGUGUCGUGAGAUGUUGGGUUAAGUCCCGCAACGAGCGCAACCCCUAUUGUUAGUUGCCAUCAUUCAGUUGGGCACUCUAGCGAGACUGCCGGUAAUAAACCGGAGGAAGUGGGGAUGACGUCAAAUCAUCAUGCCCCUUAUGACCUGGGCUACACACGUGCUACAAUGGUUGGUACAACGAGUUGCGAGUCGGUGACGGCGAGCUAAUCUCUUAAAGCCAAUCUCAGUUCGGAUUGUAGGCUGCAACUCGCCUACAUGAAGUCGGAAUCGCUAGUAAUCGCGGAUCAGCACGCCGCGGUGAAUACGUUCCCGGGCCUU
This 447-nucleotide ribosomal RNA is filed under the name uncultured Streptococcus sp. RNAcentral describes it as "bacterial SSU rRNA". It matches the Rfam family "Bacterial small subunit ribosomal RNA", at positions 930 to 1382 of the family's 1533-position model. The record is from RNAcentral. Lineage: Bacteria; Bacillati; Bacillota; Bacilli; Lactobacillales; Streptococcaceae.